ACUUAAGUAGUUUAAGUUAAAAUAUCGAUUUGUGAUAUCGAGGAUGUAUAAUAAAUUUACCUUAGGUU
This 68-nucleotide transfer RNA is filed under the name Panesthia angustipennis. Its description in RNAcentral is "tRNA-His". Lineage: Eukaryota; Metazoa; Arthropoda; Insecta; Blattodea; Blaberidae. The record is from RNAcentral.